Molecule: long non-coding RNA, 704 nt
Filed under: Scleropages formosus (Asian bonytongue)
Lineage: Eukaryota; Metazoa; Chordata; Actinopteri; Osteoglossiformes; Osteoglossidae
Description: lncRNA (ENSSFOG00015028942.1)
Source: RNAcentral
AUGGGUCACGCAGGAGCACAUUCCGUGAACACCACGUCCCCUCUGUGCUGGAGUAUUUAUGGUUCAGAGGUGGUCUAAAGUCAUAAUAAGAAGUGACUUGUCCUGUGCUUUUUUAAAUUAAUGAAUCGGAAUGAAUUGAUCAUUUAUCAGGUUUUUACGGACAUUUUCUGCCCUUCGUUUUAACGAGACAGUUCUUUUAUAUGAACAGCCCAUCCACCUGCAGCACUUCUCCUGCUGAGCUUUGAACCACUUCAACGUGACCCUUUCAGAGGAACCGCACAGUUCAGGGUCGUCUGCACAGGUUCCACCAGGAGGGAUUUGAACCCGUAACCUUUCGCAAGGUCAUUUUCCUUCCAUCUUUCACACUCCGUGUGAUGAGGACGACACACAGAGAGAGGGAGCCGUGUGCUGUGUGCCGUGUGCCGCUCCUGUCCGCCGACGACUCAUGUGGAACGGUUGUCUCCGAACCCCCAGACAGCUCUCCCCGCUCCCCAACACAGCACCUCCUGGCUCCUCACAGCGAGCUGCCAGUGAGCACAGCCCUCAACCAUAGGAAGAACUCCUUUCUGAAGCAGGUCUUGGUCUACGGUCCAGCAGAGCAGCUUGCCGCAUGAACCCUAAUCAAGAGAGACACGCCCACAUGCGCGUGAACCGGGGUCGCUCUGGGGGCCCUGUCUAAUUUUAAUAAAACUGUUACAAACAAC